RNAcentral lists this ribosomal RNA (454 nucleotides) under uncultured bacterium. RNAcentral describes it as "bacterial SSU rRNA". It matches the Rfam family "Bacterial small subunit ribosomal RNA", at positions 340 to 786 of the family's 1533-position model. The record is from RNAcentral.
UACGGGAGGCAGCAGUGGGGAAUAUUGCACAAUGGGCGCAAGCCUGAUGCAGCCAUGUCGCGUGUAUGAAGAAGGCCUUCGGGUUGUAAAGUACUUUCAGUCGUGAGGAAGGUGUUAAGGUUAAUAACCUUAGCAAUUGACGUUAGCGACAGAAGAAGCACCGGCUAACUCCGUGCCAGCAGCCGCGGUAAUACGGAGGGUGCGAGCGUUAAUCGGAAUUACUGGGCGUAAAGGGCACGCAGGCGGUUAAUUAAGUUGGAUGUGAAAUCCCCGGGCUUAACCUGGGAAUGGCAUUCAAGACUGGUUAGCUAGAGUCUUGUAGAGGGGGUAGAAUUCCAUGUGUAGCGGUGAAAUGCGUAGAGAUGUGGAGGAAUACCGGUGGCGAAGGCGGCCCCUGGGACAAAGACUGACGCUCAUGUGCGAAAGCGUGGGGAGCAAACAGGGAUUAGAUACC